This 500-nucleotide ribosomal RNA is filed under the name uncultured bacterium. Its description in RNAcentral is "partial 16S ribosomal RNA". It matches the Rfam family "Bacterial small subunit ribosomal RNA", at positions 27 to 507 of the family's 1533-position model. The record is from RNAcentral.
GGACGAACGCUGGCGGCGUGCCUAAUACAUGCAAGUCGAGCGAAGUUUUUCUGGUGCUUGCACUAGAAAAACUUAGCGGCGAACGGGUGAGUAACACGUAAAGAACCUGCCUCAUAGACUGGGACAACUAUUGGAAACGAUAGCUAAUACCGGAUAACAGUAUUUCUCGCAUGAGAGAUAUUUAAAAGUUGGUUAUGCUAACACUAUGAGAUGGCUUUGCGGUGCAUUAGCUAGUUGGUGGGGUAAAGGCCCACCAAGGCGACGAUGCAUAGCCGACCUGAGAGGGUGAUCGGCCACACUGGGACUGAGACACGGCCCAGACUCCUACGGGAGGCAGCAGUAGGGAAUCUUCCGCAAUGGGCGAAAGCCUGACGGAGCAACGCCGCGUGAGUGAAGAAGGAUUUCGGUUCGUAAAGCUCUGUUGUUAGGGAAGAAUGGAUAUGUAGUAACUAUACAUGUAAGAGACGGUACCUAACCAGAAAGCCACGGCUAACUACGUG